GGGAGUAACUAUGACUCUCU
Molecule: non-coding RNA, 20 nt
Filed under: Arabidopsis thaliana (thale cress)
Lineage: Eukaryota; Viridiplantae; Streptophyta; Magnoliopsida; Brassicales; Brassicaceae
Also listed under: 1 other name
Source: RNAcentral